Salvia miltiorrhiza (redroot sage) is the source of this 2229-nucleotide long non-coding RNA. RefSeq lists it as uncharacterized. The transcript is spliced from 2 exons. Lineage: Eukaryota; Viridiplantae; Streptophyta; Magnoliopsida; Lamiales; Lamiaceae. The record is from RefSeq and is a predicted model, not a curated record.
CCAAUUUUAUAGAUAUGCGAUGAUACAAAGAAAUUAGAUUUUCAGAUACAACUUUACACAAUGACUGUAGGGAAUUAUUUACAUCACCACUAUUCCCUACUUACAAUCAAAACCUAUCACUAUCACAAAACACUACAGCUACAUACCUACAAGCAUGCGGGAGAUAACGCGUGAGUGUAAAAAGAAGAAAAAUGAGAGAAGACCAAUCGGCUCCUCCCUUCAAUUCAGCCAACCACCAUCUCCAAUCCUUUGACUUUACAGCCAACAACUCACGCAUUAAAGCACCAGCCUAACACUUCAUUCCUUCUCUCAUACACCAACCACCAGAAAGGGAGAUGAAGAGAAGUUAAUUCCUGCUGCCAACUGCCAAGUAUCGAGAGUUCCUUCCCCAUUGAAUUCAAUAAUAACAGCAGCCAAUCAAGCACAAAAUACACAAGGUAUUUACACCAUCUCAGUUCAGUUCAAUUUCUUGCUUCAUACAAUCAUAUCAAGCAUAUGUUUUCAGUUGUAUGGAAAUACAAAUAUUACAACUAUAGAAUGAUAGAGAACUAGAUGAUUAGCUCAACCACAAUUUAUAUAUGCUUCUUCGCUAGAUAAACGAUGAGAAUUCAUAUGACAACAGAAGAAACUUUUGCCUAGUUUUAACUCUUGCAUACUCGAGCAACUCAACAUACUAAGCACAACAAGGAAAAUCAAGUCUUUACAGUAGAGUUUUCUGAAAAUUAUUCAAAUUCACAAACCUCCUAUGGAGUGAUAAAACGAGAGGGAGGAGAACGAGUCGGACUCCGGGGAAGGGCAGCUCCAACGGGCUGGCCGCUGUCGGCAGAAGCUAUCUGUCGUCCCUCGUCAACUCUGGAACAACGACGCCGGCGGAUCCAAGAGAGACCGCGGCCGCCGAGACUCCAGUUGACGACGGCGGCGGUGGCUCUGAGCGAGGCGGGCUGCUGGAGAUCAGACCAGCGACCUCGAUUCCGGGCAAAGCAGCUGCAACUCCGGGCGGCGGCGUUACCUCAGCAGCGGCGACGUCCGGCGAUAGAGCUUCCAGGCGUGUCGGCGGACGGCGGCGGUUGCACCAGAUCUUCGCUGGUCUUCCAGAGGCGGCGGCGUCGAACCGUGAUGAGAUGAGAGAAGAAGGCAGCGAUUCUUGAGAGGGGCGGGUGGCCGAGGACGGCACCCUCAGCCGGACACGGCCUCGCCGGGGCCGUUCGCGGCGGAGCUGCGGAGGCGGCGGAAUUUCGAGGGAGAAGGGGCGGAUAUGGCGGAACCAAGGGAGAAAGAGAAAAGCUAUGUGCGUGUGAGUGAGCGGCUGAAAGGGGGGGAGAAAAGGGCUUGAAGGCUAGGUGUUGGGCUUUGAGGCUUGGGCCAAUUGGGCCGAUUUUUUUCAUUUUUUUUUAUUUCAGUUGGGCUUCUUAUUUGGGCCGGUUUUCUUUUGAUUUAAUUUAUCAGCUGGGCCUUUAUUUUAAUUGCUUGGGCUGUAAAAUUUUAAGAACUAGCCCUACAUUUGGGUAGUCCAUAAAUUAAUUAAUUUGACUAUAAUUAGUUUGAUUAAUUAUUUUAAAGAUGAUUUGCAUAAAAAUAUUAAUAUUAUUAUGUGCAUAUUUUAAGUUAUUACUUAUUAUAUGCUAAGCAUGACAUGCAUUUGCAUAUGCAUUUUGCAAUAAAAGUAUUUAUGAUUUAAUUGGUUUUAAUUAUAAUUCCAAUUUUUAAAGAAAAUCGAGUAAGAAUAUUGUUGGUGUUCUUAACUCAAGAGAAAUGUUUUCAAUUAUUUAUUCAUUAAAUUUUGAAAACCCGGCUAAGUGAAUCAUAGAAUGUUAAGCACUACACCAUGACUUAAUAUUAGAUUCAAGGAGAUCUAUUAAGAAUAGAAUUUCUUGUAGGCUUUGUGACCAGGGGGAUUAGCGCUGCUUUCCCAAGACAGGUUUUUAUGUGUAUGAUCUUCAGGCUUUGCCUAUCCAGGUUGAGCUGAUGUGAUGAUGGUGCUGCAAUGAGCGGAGUUUCCAGGGUUGUUAAUAAAUAGUUAACCUGUCUAGAAUAUGUCUUCAUACAUAUGUCUGGCUACUUUCCGCUGCAAGAUGUUGUUGAUGUUAUAGUAUGUUAUGUCAUACUUUGAGUCUUAAGAGAAUGGUUUCAUAUGAUGUAUAACUUGAUUAAUGAUAUUAAUUAAGUUUUAUGCUGUCUUUCAUAGACUAUUUUCAAUUGAGUAUUCAUGAAUAAAAAUGACGAGUUUUA